GACGUAGGGUGCGAGCGUUGUCCGGAUUUAUUGGGCGUAAAGAGCGUGUAGGCGGCCAAGCAGGUCUGCUGUGAAAACUCGAGGCUCAACCUCGAGACGUCGGUGGAAACCGUUUGGCUAGAGUCCGGAAGAGGAGAGUGGAAUUCCCGGUGUAGCGGUGAAAUGCGCAGAUAUCGGGAAGAACACCCGUGGCGAAGGCGGCUCUCUGGGACGGUACUGACGCUGAGACGCGAAAGCGUGGGGAGCGAACAGG
Molecule: ribosomal RNA, 253 nt
Filed under: uncultured bacterium
Lineage: Bacteria
Description: partial 16S ribosomal RNA
Rfam family: Bacterial small subunit ribosomal RNA
Source: RNAcentral